Molecule: ribosomal RNA, 279 nt
Filed under: Triticum aestivum (bread wheat)
Lineage: Eukaryota; Viridiplantae; Streptophyta; Magnoliopsida; Poales; Poaceae
Description: partial small subunit ribosomal RNA
Source: RNAcentral
AUGUCAUUAAGUGACAAUGAACUUGAAGAAUGUUGCACAAAAUUUGCAGAAACUUUCUCUCUUAAUGGUUCAUCUAAUGUUGAGGUAUACAAUCUUAUUUCUGAAUUGAUGAUUAUAAGAUUCACUUUGCCAGAUGGUGUAAUGUCUGCUAUGGAGAUUUUCGGGCAUGCCAGAGAAGUUGAUUGUUAUCCCAAUAUCUCCAUUGUCUAUCACAUCUUAUUUACUGUGCUUGUGACGGUCGCAUCGGCCGAAAGAAGCUUUUUGAAGUUGAAUUAUUGA